AAGCAGUUAGUCUAAAUAAAACAUUUGAUUUCGGCUCAAAAAUUUGUGGUUAAAACCCACAAUUGCUUU
This 69-nucleotide transfer RNA is filed under the name Gyrinomimus sp. UW 113191. Its description in RNAcentral is "tRNA-Arg". It matches the Rfam family "tRNA". From Rfam's summary of the family: Transfer RNA (tRNA) molecules are approximately 80 nucleotides in length. Their secondary structure includes four short double-helical elements and three loops (D, anti-codon, and T loops). Further hydrogen bonds mediate the characteristic L-shaped molecular structure. tRNAs have two regions of fundamental functional importance: the anti-codon, which is responsible for specific mRNA codon recognition, and the 3' end, to which the tRNAs corresponding amino acid is attached (by aminoacyl-tRNA synthetases). tRNAs cope with the degeneracy of the genetic code in two manners: having more than one tRNA (with a specific anti-codon) for a particular amino acid; and 'wobble' base-pairing, i.e. permitting non-standard base-pairing at the 3rd anti-codon position. Lineage: Eukaryota; Metazoa; Chordata; Actinopteri; Beryciformes; Cetomimidae. RNAcentral also lists the same sequence under 1 other name. The record is from RNAcentral.